RNAcentral lists this ribosomal RNA (305 nucleotides) under uncultured bacterium. Its description in RNAcentral is "bacterial SSU rRNA". It matches the Rfam family "Bacterial small subunit ribosomal RNA", at positions 335 to 641 of the family's 1533-position model. The record is from RNAcentral.
AGCUUAGGCGCAGCAGUGAGGAAUAUUGGUCAAUGGGCGGGAGCCUGAACCAGCCAAGUCGCGUGAGGGAAGACGGUCCUAUGGAUUGUAAACCUCUUUAGGCGGGGAGCAAUGCCGAGCACGUGUGCCCGGAGGGAGAGUACCCGCAGAAUAAGCAUCGGCUAACUCCGUGCCAGCAGCCGCGGUAAUACGGAGGAUGCGAGCGUUAUCCGGAUUUAUUGGGUUUAAAGGGUGCGUAGGCGGAUUUUUAAGUCAGCGGUAAAAUGUCCGGGCUCAACCCGGGCCGGCCGUUGAAACUGGGGAUU